Molecule: ribosomal RNA, 506 nt
Filed under: uncultured bacterium
Lineage: Bacteria
Description: partial 16S ribosomal RNA
Rfam family: Bacterial small subunit ribosomal RNA
Source: RNAcentral
AGUGAACGCUGGCGGUAGGCCUAACACAUGCAAGUCGAACGGCAGCACAGGAGAGCUUGCUCUCUGGGUGGCGAGUGGCGGACGGGUGAGGAAUACAUCGGAAUCUACUCUGUCGUGGGGGAUAACGUAGGGAAACUUACGCUAAUACCGCAUACGACCUAUGGGUGAAAGCAGGGGACCUUCGGGCCUUGCGCGAUUGAAUGAGCCGAUGUCGGAUUAGCUAGUUGGCGGGGUAAAGGCCAACCAAGGCGACGAUCCGUAGCUGGUCUGAGAGGAUGAUCAGCCACACUGGAACUGAGACACGGUCCAGACUCCUACGGGAGGCAGCAGUGGGGAAUAUUGGACAAUGGGCGCAAGCCUGAUCCAGCCAUACCGCGUGGGUGAAGAAGGCCUUCGGGUUGUAAAGCCCUUUUGUUGGGAAAGAAAUCCAGCUGGCUAAUACCCGGUUGGGAUGACGGUACCCAAAGAAUAAGCACCGGCUAACUUCGUGCAAGCCGCCGCGGUAA